CAGCAGCCGCGGGAAUACGUAGGUCCCGAGCGUUGUCCGGAUUUAUUGGGCGUAAAGCGAGCGCAGGCGGUUAGAUAAGUCUGAAGUUAAAGGCUGUGGCUUAACCAUAGUACGCUUUGGAAACUGUUUAACUUGAGUGCAAGAGGGGAGAGUGGAAUUCCAUGUGUAGCGGUGAAAUGCGUAGAUAUAUGGAGGAACACCAGUGGCGAAAGCGGCUCUCUGGCUUGUAACUGACGCUGAGGCUCGAGAGCGUGGGGAGCAAACAGGAUUAGAUACCCGAGUAGUCCCUGUCUCUUAUACA
RNAcentral lists this ribosomal RNA (301 nucleotides) under uncultured bacterium. RNAcentral's name for it is "partial 16S ribosomal RNA". It matches the Rfam family "Bacterial small subunit ribosomal RNA", at positions 509 to 808 of the family's 1533-position model. The record is from RNAcentral.